CUCUCUUAGGCUCUUGCUUCAGGAAGGCCUAAAGUGAAAAUCUUUUCGGAAAUGCUGAUAUUGGCUUAUUCCUCACCCCAGAUGUCUCUGGAGAUUUUGCAGGGGUCGCCCAGAGGUGACCCUGAGACCACUGGAGAAGAAAUAAAUGAAGGCCAUGAAACUUCCUUGAACUAGUGGGAAUCCAUGAGAAAAUCUGACAUUAUGUUUUCUUCUCUUGGAAUAGAAAUAUUGUUUGACUUCUGUUUUGCUGACAAGAAACGAGGCCAGACCACCCACCUGAGCAAGGCUACCUGGGACAAUGACCUCACAUAUGGAAAACAUUGGAGCCCAUCUGCUUCCAAUCUGCUGUUUUCCAAAAAUUAGGGAAGUUGUUUUCCCUUUGAUACCCUCUGUUUCUAACAAUCCCAAUGCCAACACUGUCCUGUUUCUACAAGAGACAAUGACAAAUAUGAGCCUGAAGGAAGAUGAGCUGAUGGCAUUCCCAGCUUAUUACCACUCCUUGGGGGCCUUAUCUUACAUACAUGGAUUCAAUUCGUAGACUCAGCUGGGUAUGGAGAAUGAGAGAGAGGGAAGGGAAGGCUGAGUCCCCAGUUUCCGGCUUGGACAACUGUGAAGAUAGUGCCUUUUGCUGAGAUGGAGAAUAUUAGAAGAGGAGAAAUUUGAGGGAAGGGAAAUGCCAAUUUUAAUUCAGCCUUCUCUUAUGUUUGAAAUACAUGUGAGAAAAGUAAAACAACAUACCAGUAGUGCUGUAAU
This is a long non-coding RNA of Gorilla gorilla gorilla (western lowland gorilla), 753 nucleotides long. RefSeq lists it as uncharacterized. NCBI's taxonomy places the organism in Eukaryota, Metazoa, Chordata, Mammalia, Primates, Hominidae. The record is from RefSeq and is a predicted model, not a curated record. The transcript has 3 exons.